RNAcentral lists this ribosomal RNA (439 nucleotides) under uncultured bacterium. Its description in RNAcentral is "partial 16S ribosomal RNA". It matches the Rfam family "Bacterial small subunit ribosomal RNA", at positions 339 to 795 of the family's 1533-position model. The record is from RNAcentral.
CUACGGGAGGCUGCAGUGAGGAAUAUUGCACAAUGGGGGGAACCCUGAUGCAGCAACGCCGCGUGGAGGAUGACGCAUUUCGGUGUGUAAACUCCUUUUAUAUGUCAAGAAAAUGACGGUAGCAUAUGAAUAAGCACCGGCUAACUCCGUGCCAGCAGCCGCGGUAAUACGGAGGGCGCAAGCGUUACUCGGAAUCACUGGGCGUAAAGGACGCGUAGGCGGGUUGGAAAGUCAGGUGUGAAAGCCUACAGCUUAACUGUAGAACUGCAAUUGAAACUUCUAAUCUAGAGUAUGGGAGGGGGAGAUGGAAUUAGUGGUGUAGGGGUAAAAUCCGUAGAUAUCACUAGGAAUACCUAAAGCGAAGGCGAUCUCCUGGAACAUUACUGACGCUAAGGCGUGAAAGCGUGGGGAGCAAACAGGAUUAGAUACCCUAGUAGUC